RNAcentral lists this long non-coding RNA (336 nucleotides) under Anas platyrhynchos platyrhynchos (common mallard). Its description in RNAcentral is "lncRNA (ENSAPLG00000024025.1)". The record is from RNAcentral. Lineage: Eukaryota; Metazoa; Chordata; Aves; Anseriformes; Anatidae.
UUUGAGGAAAAUUUGGCAUUUUCUGAGGAGAUUUCAGUGCGGGGACCCCCAGAGACCCCUCAUCAUUAUUUUUUUGGGGAUAUUUUGAGGCGAUUUGGGCUUUUUUAAGGAGAUCUUGAGGUGAAAACACCACAGAAACCGUGUUUUUGUGAUCUCGGUGAGAUUUUGAGGCAAUUUGUGAGAAUUUUGGGGUUUCAUGAGGAGAAGUUGGGGUAAAAAAUGGCGAUAAACCUUAAUGGCGCUGAUGCUGGAGAACCUCCAGAAGCACUCCACGCCGCACGCCACCUUCCAGCCCAACUCCCAGGUAAAAAACCCCCAAAACCGCCCCAAAAAACA